Molecule: ribosomal RNA, 1300 nt
Filed under: Staphylococcus aureus
Lineage: Bacteria; Bacillati; Bacillota; Bacilli; Caryophanales; Staphylococcaceae
Description: bacterial SSU rRNA
Rfam family: Bacterial small subunit ribosomal RNA
Source: RNAcentral
GAUGAACGCUGGCGGCGUGCCUAAUACAUGCAAGUCGAGCGAACGGACGAGAAGCUUGCUUCUCUGAUGUUAGCGGCGGACGGGUGAGUAACACGUGGAUAACCUACCUAUAAGACUGGGAUAACUUCGGGAAACCGGAGCUAAUACCGGAUAAUAUUUUGAACCGCAUGGUUCAAAAGUGAAAGACGGUCUUGCUGUCACUUAUAGAUGGAUCCGCGCUGCAUUAGCUAGUUGGUAAGGUAACGGCUUACCAAGGCAACGAUGCAUAGCCGACCUGAGAGGGUGAUCGGCCACACUGGAACUGAGACACGGUCCAGACUCCUACGGGAGGCAGCAGUAGGGAAUCUUCCGCAAUGGGCGAAAGCCUGACGGAGCAACGCCGCGUGAGUGAUGAAGGUCUUCGGAUCGUAAAACUCUGUUAUUAGGGAAGAACAUAUGUGUAAGUAACUGUGCACAUCUUGACGGUACCUAAUCAGAAAGCCACGGCUAACUACGUGCCAGCAGCCGCGGUAAUACGUAGGUGGCAAGCGUUAUCCGGAAUUAUUGGGCGUAAAGCGCGCGUAGGCGGAUUUUUAAGUCUGAUGUGAAAGCCCACGGCUCAACCGUGGAGGGUCAUUGGAAACUGGAAAACUUGAGUGCAGAAGAGGAAAGUGGAAUUCCAUGUGUAGCGGUGAAAUGCGCAGAGAUAUGGAGGAACACCAGUGGCGAAGGCGACUUUCUGGUCUGUAACUGACGCUGAUGUGCGAAAGCGUGGGGAUCAAACAGGAUUAGAUACCCUGGUAGUCCACGCCGUAAACGAUGAGUGCUAAGUGUUAGGGGGUUUCCGCCCCUUAGUGCUGCAGCUAACGCAUUAAGCACUCCGCCUGGGGAGUACGACCGCAAGGUUGAAACUCAAAGGAAUUGACGGGGACCCGCACAAGCGGUGGAGCAUGUGGUUUAAUUCGAAGCAACGCGAAGAACCUUACCAAAUCUUGACAUCCUUUGACAACUCUAGAGAUAGAGCCUUCCCCUUACGGGGACAAAGUGACAGGUGGUGCAUGGUUGUCGUCAGCUCGUGUCGUGAGAUGUUGGGUUAAGUCCCGCAACGAGCGCAACCCUUAAGCUUAGUUGCCAUCAUUAAGUUGGGCACUCUAAGUUGACUGCCGGUGACAAACCGGAGGAAGGUGGGGAUGACGUCAAAUCAUCAUGCCCCUUAUGAUUUGGGCUACACACGUGCUACAAUGGACAAUACAAAGGGCAGCGAAACCGCGAGGUCAAGCAAAUCCCAUAAAGUUGUUCUCAGUUCGGAAUGUAGUCUGCA